CCUACGGGAGGCAGCAGUGAGGAAUAUUGGUCAAUGGGCGAGAGCCUGAACCAGCCAAGUCGCGUGAGGGAAGACGGUCCUAUGGAUUGUAAACCUCUUUUGUCGGGGAGCAAAAAGGCCUCGUGAGGCCACAAGUGAGAGUACCCGAAGAAAAAGCAUCGGCUAACUCCGUGCCAGCAGCCGCGGUAAUACGGAGGAUGCGAGCGUUAUCCGGAUUUAUUGGGUUUAAAGGGUGCGUAGGCGGACUGGAAAGUCAGCGGUAAAAUCGAGAGGCUCAACCUCUUUCCGCCGUUGAAACUGUCGGU
RNAcentral lists this ribosomal RNA (305 nucleotides) under uncultured bacterium. RNAcentral's name for it is "bacterial SSU rRNA". It matches the Rfam family "Bacterial small subunit ribosomal RNA", at positions 338 to 640 of the family's 1533-position model. The record is from RNAcentral.